UAUUGACAAUCUUUGUAAUAUCUGUCGAUUUAUUGAUUGUUUUGCUCUUGUGCAAAAUGAACAAUGAUGAUAAAUCAACGCCUCUACAGAUUUUCAUGGACGUCAUUUCAUUAUUAAAUUAAUUAAAUGUUGACGACUUUCAAGUUUAUGGAAGGAAUUUUAAACUUCUCUCCGCUAAUAUUUUUGCCCAAAAUAUUGCAAGUGAGGUCUAACUCUUGAUUAACAAUAAUAGUUUUUCGCAUAAAUGAAUUUACAUUAUUCUGUUCGUAUACAAAAACCAUUUCAGAUACACCAAAGAACUUUUUAUCCAUAGAUAAGGUUACUUUCUGUAAUACUUUUGCCAAUUUGAUGGCAAGUUUAAGUUCCAUGUAUCUAGUUCGCAAAAUAAAAUGCUGGCAGUAUUAAAUUGUUCUUUAGAUGUUUGAUUCAAUUUAUUCUAUAAAUAAAAGUGACACCUUAGGUAUGUAUUUUUAAAUAUUUUAAAAAGUAGUAUCAGUUUACUUUUUGAUGUACGAGGAUAUUAAAAUCAGAAGUACUGCUGCCAUUUAAAGAAGAAUCAUUACAAUUAAUAGAAUAGUUAUGUUCUAUCAAAACCCUGGAACUCAGCAUGAGAUCAUUACAUGGAUCUUCAAUAUUCAUUAUUGGUUCACAAAUUAAUUCCUAAAAGUUUAUUGAAAAGAUACAAUUCAAAAAUGAGGUUGGACAAGUUAAUGAAAGUCAACUAAUUACUAGUACUAACUAUUAAUUUCAUUAUUAAAUAAACUUUUUUGAUCACAAUAUUUUUAAUUAAUUUUGUAUAAUUCAUUGUCUUGUAAAUAGUUAAAAGCUAAUUUGUACAUAUUUAAUUAACUUAGAAAAAUUAAUAAUACAUUCAAAUAUAGUACAAAUUAUAAAAUGUAUUAUUUGUUGUAUCAUCUGUACACUGAGUAAAUAACUUAGGUUCCCCAGUCCUUAUAUAAUAACUAGUUUGUUAAAAUCUCAGCUUUAUUGAUUCAUAAAUACUAAUUAUUUAAAAAAUAAAAAUUUACUUCUUUAUCACCAUCACAUGUUAAAGGUGCUCUGUCGGUAGUAGUACUAGUAGUGUCUAAUGGGUUGUAGGGUUGAAUUAAAUUGUCCUCCUAUUAAUAUUGGUUAAGAUUACAAAUACUUCCAUACUACAUUUUUUAUCUACUUAUAGUUAUACUAUAACUACCUUAUUUUCUGAAAAUUUCAAUAGUUUUCGAGCCGAAAAUGGUACUGCAUUUGGUUUUAAACGAGGCCGUACUAAUGUAGUCUAAAUAUUUUAUUAAUAAAUGUAAUAUAAUAAUUACAUCAAAAAUUUAUUUUAUAUUAAAGAAAAGCUAAUAAUUGAGGUUUAAAUAAUUAAUAAAUUAAUAAAAUAAAAAUACUAAAAUACUUA
Long non-coding RNA from Aphis gossypii (cotton aphid), 1399 nucleotides. RefSeq lists it as uncharacterized. The transcript is spliced from 2 exons. The record is from RefSeq and is a predicted model, not a curated record. Lineage: Eukaryota; Metazoa; Arthropoda; Insecta; Hemiptera; Aphididae.